RNAcentral lists this ribosomal RNA (464 nucleotides) under uncultured bacterium. RNAcentral describes it as "bacterial SSU rRNA". It matches the Rfam family "Bacterial small subunit ribosomal RNA", at positions 36 to 518 of the family's 1533-position model. The record is from RNAcentral.
CUGGCGGCGUGCCUAACACAUGCAAGUCGAGCGAGGAGAUCCUCGGGAUGAUCCUAGCGGCGGACGGGUGAGUAACACGUGGGCAACCUGCCUCAUAGAGAGGAAUAGCCUUCCGAAAGGGAGAUUAAUACCUCAUAACAUUGCAGUUCCGCAUGAAACAGCAAUUAAAGGAGCAAUCCGCUAUGAGAUGGGCCCGCGGCGCAUUAGCUAGUUGGUGAGGUAACGGCUCACCAAGGCGACGAUGCGUAGCCGACCUGAGAGGGUGAUCGGCCACAUUGGGACUGAGACACGGCCCAGACUCCUACGGGAGGCAGCAGUGGGGAAUAUUGCACAAUGGGGGAAACCCUGAUGCAAGCAACGCCGCGUGAGUGAUGACGGCCUUCGGGUUGUAAAGCUCUGUCUUCAGGGACGAUAAUGACGGUACCUGAGGAGGAAGCCACGGCUAACUACGUGCCAGCAGCCGC